This is a long non-coding RNA of Alligator mississippiensis (American alligator), 2429 nucleotides long. RefSeq lists it as uncharacterized. The record is from RefSeq and is a predicted model, not a curated record. NCBI's taxonomy places the organism in Eukaryota, Metazoa, Chordata, Crocodylia, Alligatoridae. The transcript is spliced from 3 exons.
AGGGGACGGAGCAGGGGGCGGGAGCUCCCGGCCCGCACGGCGCUCAGGAGGGGGCGGUGACAGCCCAGGCCCGCCCCCGCCCCGCGUGUCGCGGGACCCCGCGCUCUUAUCAGAAACCGCCUUGUCCCUCCAGCGGACAACUCUUGGGAGAGCCGGGAGCAACUCCACAGAGUCGCCUGUUCGGAUCUCCUGGAGUCAACCCCACCCCUGCAACAUAGCAGCGUGGGAAGUGCCUGCUUGUGCAGUUUGUGGCCCCGCAGCCACAUACCGCACGUCAACACUUGUCUGGAUGUGGCCAGAAAGACCACAACAGUGUCAUCUAUCAUUGAUUCCAAGUAGACCAUAUGAGAAAGUGGGUGUGAGGAAAACUUAUUGGAAUCAGGAGAGAGGCGGCGGGACGCCUCAUCAACAGCCAAUCACGGCAAAAGUGAAACCAGGGUGACUGGAGCCACCACGGUCAAAGAUCAAAGGAAAAACCCGUGGCAGAGCCGGGAGCAGCUCCCACAUCUGCCUCGGCAGGCAGCUGAAGCCGGCAGAAAAGCCCCAACUGGAAGGAAGCCAGGGGGUCUGGAAAGAGCAUCCCCAGCUGGCCCAGAGGGGUCAGAACAGUCGGAGGAUCUGGAGGAAGAGGCUUGGUGGCUCCCUUGGGAAGGGAGCAUGAAGGGAACGCUGGGCCAGUGAGGGCCCAAGGAGUCGCUGGCAGACCUGGUGUGGACCACAGCCAGUAGCCACAGCGACUGGGACAUCGGCAAACGCAAUGAGGAUGGGACCCUGACCUGAAUGAGUGGCAGAAGAUACUGAACUCAGGGGGUCAACAACACGUCAAGGGAGGCAGGAGCCCAGGUAGAACCCGGCUCCACAUAAGCCAAAAAGCAAAGAGGGGCCACGGAAAGUGCUUGGCACUAGCUUCACCGGUGGCAAACAACUGCAGCCCCAAGGAACCGAGUGCUGGGGAGAGCCUGAACAUUGGCCCUGACAGGCAACAUCACAGUUGGCGUUAGGCAGGGUGUAGGGGAGGUGGAGCCCCAAGAAGAGGCAGUCGCGAGGACAGCCAAGGGAAAGGACCAGGGGGGCAGGACCAGACAUCAUCCUCCCAAUUGGAAACUUCUUAUCAAAUACGUGGCAGACAAGACCCCCUGGGGAUCUGACCCAAGGCCACUCCCAGUAGCCUGGCUGUACAGCCCAAGGAGCCACGGUGAGGUUCUUAAAGAACCCAAAGCAUGAUGCUCAGGAAAAAGGCACGGAAAGUUACAGUGGGUCAGAAUUGGGACUAGGACAAGGACCAAACUGCAGAACAAGAGUAGGCAAAAAACUUAGCAUGGGCACAAACAAUAUUUCUACAUAUUUGUAUUCUUUUCAUGUGCAAUUUCAUAUAUUACAUGGCAGUGGGGAUUAGAAAAGGUCCCAAUAUACAUGAAUGGACCUCAAAAGUUUCAGUCUACAAUCCAUGAAAACCUGGUUUAUGCACUAGAAAAUAACAAAAAUUAAAAGAGGUAUAAAUGGAGUUAAACUGCAGAAGCUUUAAAUUUGUUCCAUUCAUGUUUAAAGGUACAGUCAUUUAAUCCACUUAUACCUCUAUUAUAGGAGCAGAAAGAUGAAACUGUUACAUCCAUUCAAUUGACAUGUAUUCUCAACUAGUAACUUUCCCAUUCCUCCUUGAAACAGCAUAUCAUUAUGUCUGUCCAUAGGCUCUGUAACUGGCAGGCUGUUUUGGUCCUGUGUAAGUCCCUUUGUGUUGUGUGUAUUGCCCAUAUCUUAUGAUAUAAAGUGAAUGAAGAGUUUUAACUAAAGUCAGAGCAUUAUCUGCAUAGUAACAUGGAGGGGCUGAGGCCUCUCUGGAGGGUCACCACACCAUAUGUCAGGGACUUUACAUUUUGCAGAUUUUCUGUUCUUUGCGUUUAGAAUAUUAUAUGAUAUCACCUCUCUGUAAUGCGUAGAUAUUUGCAUUUUUCCUAUUAGGAUUUACAAAAGCACUUGCUCUUACGCAGUGGCUAAUGUGAUGAUUUGCAUAACAUUCCCGUGGUAGAAGAACUGGUACAAAGUGUCCUUUAGUUUAACAAAGCUCAAUAUCCAGAAAAUCUAGGGUCAAAGGCCACCCAGAGUAAUGUACAUUUACAUAGCAGCUUUCAUCCAGGUUUCUAAGCUCUCUGUGUCCUCUUUCAUCCCACUCCAAAGAGAGAAGGUAGAAAGUCCUGUGGCUAAGGUACUGGCUUGGGACUUAGAAAUUUUGGCUGAGAUUCCUGGCUGUAUUACAUAUUACUGUGUGAUGUUGAGCACAUUAAUAAAGCCCUAAACAAUUCAGUUUCCAUUACCUCCAAUGGGAACUACAGAGGUUUCAUACCCCUGACAAAUUAAACUUGUAAUCUCUAGGUCUCAAAUAAUUUUCUUGCACACUUUAUUUGUCUAUAUUAUAACCUUUUUGGGACAGA